CCUACGGGUGGCAGCAGUGAGGAAUAUUGGUCAAUGGACGCAAGUCUGAACCAGCCAUGCAGCGUGCAGGAUGACGGCUCUAUGAGUUGUAAACUGCUUUUGUACGAGGGUAAACUCAAAUACGCGUAUCUCUCUGAAAGUAUCUUACGAAUAAGGAUCGGCUAACUCCGUGCCAGCAGCCGCGGUAAUACGGAGGAUUCGAGCGUUAUCCGGAUUUAGUGGGUUUAAAGGGUGCGUAGGCGGUCGGAUAAGUUAGUGGUGAAAUCCCGAGGCUCAACCUCGGAAUUGCCUUUGAUACUGGUCGGCUAGAGAGUAGUUGCGGUAGGCGGAAUGCAUGGUGUAGCGGUGAAAUGCUUAGAGAUCAGACAGAACACCGAUUGCGAAGGCAGCUUACCAAGCUACUUCUGACGCUGAGGCACGAAAGCGUGGGGAGCAAACAGGAUUAGAUACCCUAGUAGUC
Molecule: ribosomal RNA, 460 nt
Filed under: uncultured bacterium
Lineage: Bacteria
Description: partial 16S ribosomal RNA
Rfam family: Bacterial small subunit ribosomal RNA
Source: RNAcentral